This 293-nucleotide ribosomal RNA is filed under the name uncultured bacterium. RNAcentral's name for it is "partial 16S ribosomal RNA". It matches the Rfam family "Bacterial small subunit ribosomal RNA", at positions 505 to 796 of the family's 1533-position model. The record is from RNAcentral.
GUGCCAGCCGGCCGCGGUAAUACGGAGGUCCCAAGCGUUGUUCGGAAUUACUGGGCGUAAAGGGGGCGCAGGCGGCCAGGUCAGUGGAAAGUGGAAGCCCGGGGCUCAACCUCGGAAGGCCUUUCCAUACUGCCUGGCUUGAGUAUGCGAGAGGAGAGCGGAAUUCCGGGUGUAGCGGUGAAAUGCUUAGAUAUCCGGAGGAACACCAAUGGCGAAAGCAGCUCUCUGGCGCAAUACUGACGCUGAGGCCCGAAAGCGUGGGGAGCGAACGGGAUUAGAAACCCCAGUAGUCC